Molecule: small nucleolar RNA, 140 nt
Filed under: Zalophus californianus (California sea lion)
Lineage: Eukaryota; Metazoa; Chordata; Mammalia; Carnivora; Otariidae
Also listed under: 1 other name
Description: Small nucleolar RNA SNORA29 (ENSZCAG00015008590.1)
Rfam family: Small nucleolar RNA SNORA29
About the family: ACA29 is a member of the H/ACA class of snoRNA that guide the sites of modification of uridines to pseudouridines.
Source: RNAcentral
ACUCCCAUUUGACUACCACAUUUUCUCCCAAUAAUAGAUUUUGGUGGCUAUGCUUGUGGGAUAAAUUAAAAUUGCCAUGAUCUGAAGAGGGAGGACCCUUUUGUGUUCUCCUCCUAUAUGAAAUGGCUGAACAGAAAAUU